Parus major (Great Tit) is the source of this 2098-nucleotide long non-coding RNA. RefSeq lists it as uncharacterized. The transcript has 5 exons. The record is from RefSeq and is a predicted model, not a curated record. NCBI's taxonomy places the organism in Eukaryota, Metazoa, Chordata, Aves, Passeriformes, Paridae.
AUCAGUACCGGGAUGACUGAGGAACUUCUGAGUUGAGGUGAUUAGUGGCUGUGCUAAUUAGGAGCAGUGAGAUCCUGAAGCCAAGCACACAAAUCCUCUCAGGGCUCAGCCAUCCUGCAAGAGCCGAUCCCAGCAAGGGAGCAGGAGGGGAUGCAGAGGGACUCAAUUAAUGAGAUCCAUCCGUAACCCUCCUGCUUUGGGCUGGGCUUUACAGCAAAUAUUGAUCCCAGCCUGGAGAACUUAAAACGGGAGAGGAAAAGCCAAGGAGAGCUGGCACUUGACCCCCAGGAGCUUUCUGGACUUUUCUUCUCUCUGCAGAGCACAAUAAAGUGAAUGUUUUCCUUUGGAGAGGAAACAGACAGCCCUGGAGCUAUUUCAUUUCCCUGCUCUAUGUCUGUUGCCAUGACUGUUCUCCCAGAUCACUGUUUCCAGAGUACACACUUCACCAAUAUAAUUUAAAAGACAGUAUUUUGUUCACUGCCUCGAGUAGGAAGAACUUUCCCUUAAAAACAUUUCCAAUUCAAUUGCUCAGAUGGAGGGUCAAAGGAGCAGAAUAUGAUGAGACCAAAAGAAAAAAAUAUCUGAAUAUUUUCACCCUCAGAAAGAAGCAUCAGAAACACUUGCAGAUGUUGCUGCACCAUAAAUCACUUUGAAAGGAACUUUACUGAGGAAAUUAUGACCGGUCCCAACAGGGAAAAGCAGAGAUUCUCUGUGUAAAUAUUUGUCUUUCCACUUAUUGCUCCAGCCUGAUUUUUCUGUGAUUUAUGGGUUCUGUUCAUAUGAUUUCUGAGCAUUUAAUGGAUGAGAUUUUGUGUGUCCUGCACUGAGUAUUCCCUAAUCAGCUGUAAUAGUGGGAACAGAGUAAAAACUGCAUCAGCCCCAGCAGAGUGAAACAGCCUUUUCCUCACCAAACUGCUCCUGGCAAGGGGAGGGAUUUUUAACUCUGCUUUUUGCUUAAAGUGCAGCUGGAAGCAGAAGUGGAAAUAGUUCAUUUUAAUGAAGUCAAUACCCAAUUUAACAACAGAGAGUAAUCUUGGCAGCAUAAUUACCACAGAGAAUCCAGAAAGGGAAUCAGCCUUUCACUUCUGCAAGGACUCAGCUUUGCCUGGCCUGGAAUUGCUCCUGCUCAUCCAAGGGGAAGCUGGAAAAUUGGAGGUCAAACUGCUCAAAAUACUCGGUGUGAUUCCUCAAAAGCAUUUCCUGGAGCUCCUUGGUGUGGUUGGGAGAGAGCUUGGCUGCCUGGAGCAGAGAAUUCAGGGAUGGAGGCAUUGGAGGAGUCAGCUGGAGUCUCCAAACUGGAAUUUUAUGGAUGAAGUCAGCUUAGCUCAGAGCUGGAACUCUCAUUUUCUAGGAAAAGGCUCUCUGGGAAUCGCUUGUGUGGUGCCUCUGUUGCAUUCAGAAUUCCAAGGAUCAGGAUCCCUGGCAGCAUUCUGAAAGAAUAAAGAAUAAAGAUCAGCACUAAACCCAGGGGAAAAAGGGACCUUGGAUCAUCCAUAAAGACCCUGAGAACCAGAGCUCAGUCUGAGGGCAGCAGCAUUUGGACAGCUCCAUGCAAUGAGGCCACAGAACAAAGCCAGGUGAAAUUAAAGCAAGGCUGUACUGAAAUCAAGCAACCAAAGUGCACUCUGAGAAACAGAGAAAUAUUCCUGAAUAAAAAGCAUCCACCAGAGGGGCAGAAAGGUUGAUACAACUGUUAUUUACCCUUCCCAUGCUGGCUGAGCUCCAGCUGAGCAGCAGAACCAUCUCCUUCCAAAGGAUUCCUGUGGUCCUUUGUAGGCAAGCUGCAGGAAUUCCUGGAGAAAAUGGAUUGUGCACUUUAUCUUUGAGCCACCCAAAACAUGAAGAAUCUUCAGAGUCUGGCCUUGUGAGAAGUCACUGAAGCUCCCUUCUAUGCCCAGUGAAGUUGAAAUUUGCUCUAAAAACCAUCAAAAUUGCCUCCUCUCGAAAGGACUGCUCAAUCUUUGGGAGAGCUUUAGUAAUAAAGGAGCUGACACUAAACAGGGUUAAAAUUCUCCACAGGUAAAAGCUGCAUCUUUCAAAAAUAAACUCUCCACUGAAUUUGCAGCUGAGGCUUCUUUCACUCAGGGUCAAUCCUAUA